Molecule: long non-coding RNA, 126 nt
Organism: Etheostoma spectabile (orangethroat darter)
Lineage: Eukaryota; Metazoa; Chordata; Actinopteri; Perciformes; Percidae
Exons: 3
Source: RefSeq, a predicted model, not a curated record
AUUUGUUCAUCUAUAGUAUAUAAUGUAUCAGUUAUAGGGAUCCAUUAUAGUACUCUAUUAUUUGAAAAGGAAACCAUAGCUUUUUCUCUCUCCUCGCACCAGGCUAUACAGCCCCCUCCUUCUCGU